CCAGGCUCCGCCCUCUAUGCUAUUCGCGGAUGUGAAGCGGCUGCCAAGCUGGUUCUCUAGCCUAGGGCUUUGGCGCGAGGUGGGAGGUCGCUUUCCAGAGGCGCAGGUCCACCCUCAGCUAGUGUGGGGCGCGGGCUAGCCUCGGCUUCCGGGGAUCGCUGCAGGACUCCAUCGGGGACGGAGCGCUCGCCGCGGUGGAGUCAGGACCCAGCAUGUCGGGACCGCGGGCUUCUCGGCGCCUGCUUGGCUGUGGCCUUGUAUUUCAGGGGCAGCGUAUAAGGUCCUGUGGAGCAAACCUGUUAGCCUCCAGACAGGCGACUCCUUUAACUCAACCUGGGCCGUAAUCCAAAAUUGGACCACAUUAUAGACAGCAUGGACGGGAUUGUGGCAUGGGAGACUAAGGAAGGAGAUUUGUUUUUUGUCCAGCUAAUCCGUGUAGUAGUUUGGGAAUUAGUGAAAUAAAUGGUUGUGUUUCAUAGCCUAAAGAGUCAGUGUAUGAAUUAAUUAUACAAGUUGAUGGAAGGUGAAGAUGUCUGCAUUUGGGGUCUGAAUGAAACAAUGCGACCUUAAAUUUUGGGUUUGGACGUGGAAAAAGUAAUUCGUAAUAAAUAGUUUUCCUAGUGAAAGUAUCUGCUUUGAUGUUUUACAUUCUUAAUUAUUUUGUCAGUCUAGAAACACAACUCACCUCAACAAAGGGUGUGCUGACUCCUCUUAUGUCAGUUUGACACACAAACUAGAGUUUUUGUAAAGAAGGGAACCUCAAUUGAGAAAAUGCCUCCAUAAGAUCCGACUGUAAGGCAUUUUCUUAUUUAGUGAUUGAUGGAGGAGGGCCCAGCCCAUUGUGGGUAAUGCCAUCCCUGGUGUAGAUUCUAUAAGAAAGCAGGUUGAGCAAGCCAGUAAGUAGUACCCCUCCAUGGCCUGCAUCAGUUCCUGCAUCUAGGUUCCUGGCCUGUUUUUACUGUCCUGACUUCCUUCGAUGAUGAACAGCAAUGUGCAAGUGUAAGACAAAUAAACCCUCUCCUCCCCAAUUUGAUUUUUGGUCAUGAUGUUUCAUCACAGCAAUAGAAAACUAAGGCAAAGGGAAUAAAAUACCAUUUAUUUUGGAGCCAAAUAUGGC
RNAcentral lists this long non-coding RNA (1117 nucleotides) under Cricetulus griseus (Chinese hamster). RNAcentral's name for it is "lncRNA (ENSCGRG00015041675.1)". The record is from RNAcentral. Lineage: Eukaryota; Metazoa; Chordata; Mammalia; Rodentia; Cricetidae.